Long non-coding RNA from Raphanus sativus (radish), 892 nucleotides. RefSeq lists it as uncharacterized. The record is from RefSeq and is a predicted model, not a curated record. The transcript is spliced from 2 exons. NCBI's taxonomy places the organism in Eukaryota, Viridiplantae, Streptophyta, Magnoliopsida, Brassicales, Brassicaceae.
CUAAUCCAAUGGACUAGAUCAAUUUGCGACAAAAGCAUUAUCUCUGUCUUCCACGUAUCAGAAACAAGUGGCCUAAAAGGCAUUGAAACACACACUUUUUAAUAUAAACGAAAAAGAAAAUAUUUCAUUGGUCAAUAUAUGAUGGCAUGGAUUACAAUCUGAGGCCAUUCAUUAACUAUGAUCCAAUGGCUAAGAAAAUUAUAUCCUUCUGCUCAUCUCUCUCCAUCUGCAAGUUGUUAUUUUUUUAUGUCUCUUCUUUUCCAGAUCUUACAGGUUUCUCUCAAAAAUUACAUUUUUCUGUAGAUUGGCAAACUUAUUUUUUUCACUCUAUCUCCUUUAUUUUCUGUAGACUGGCAAACUUAUCUUUUUUCUGUAGAUUUCUCCACGGUUCUUUUACUCCAGGAGAAGUAGCAAUGAGUCCUUCACCAAUCUACAAAGAUGAUGAAGGACCAGAAAAAGACGAUAGCUUGGGUCAACAACGACAAGAGCUUCAACGAGGAUGAAGAAGAUCGUUUGACACCACCACCACAGAUCCAAGGACAUGUGCGACAUGAGUAAGAAAAUAGAGGUUGUGGAGGCUGGAGUAAGAGAACCGUGGCUUCAGGCGGGUGCCGUGGAGGCUGAGGAGAAUAGAGGUUGUGGAGGCUGGAGUAAGAGAACCGUGGCUUCAGGCGGGUGCUGUGGAGGCUGGAGGCAGAGGCGGAGGCUCUGUUAGCAGUAGAUUAGGUUUAGGUUAAGCUUAAUCAUGUUUUGGUUAGUUAUUAGAUUUUGGUUAGUUAGAUUUUGGUUUAAAUUUUUAUUAGUUUUUGGUUUAAUGUUAUCGAUUGGUCAUUGUUUUCUUUUCUUUGUAUACUGAUAUGAAUUAAUAAAUAAAAUUUCAUCUUUGAAUUAA